GGUUAAGCGACUAAGCGUACACGGUGGAUGCCCUGGCAGUCAGAGGCGAUGAAGGACGUGCUAAUCUGCGAUAAGCGUCGGUAAGGUGAUAUGAACCGUUAUAACCGGCGAUUUCCGAAUGGGGAAACCCAGUGUGUUUCGACACACUAUCAUUAACUGAAUCCAUAGGUUAAUGAGGCGAACCGGGGGAACUGAAACAUCUAAGUACCCCGAGGAAAAGAAAUCAACCGAGAUUCCCCCAGUAGCGGCGAGCGAACGGGGAGCAGCCCAGAGCCUGAAUCAGUGUGUGUGUUAGUGGAAGCGUCUGGAAAGGCGCGCGAUACAGGGUGACAGCCCCGUACACAAAAAUGCACAUGCUGUGAGCUCGAUGAGUAGGGCGGGACACGUGGUAUCCUGUCUGAAUAUGGGGGGACCAUCCUCCAAGGCUAAAUACUCCUGACUGACCGAUAGUGAACCAGUACCGUGAGGGAAAGGCGAAAAGAACCCCGGCGAGGGGAGUGAAAAAGAACCUGAAACCGUGUACGUACAAGCAGUGGGAGCACGCUUAGGCGUGUGACUGCGUACCUUUUGUAUAAUGGGUCAGCGACUUAUAUUCUGUAGCAAGGUUAACCGAAUAGGGGAGCCGAAGGGAAACCGAGUCUUAACUGGGCGUUAAGUUGCAGGGUAUAGACCCGAAACCCGGUGAUCUAGCCAUGGGCAGGUUGAAGGUUGGGUAACACUAACUGGAGGACCGAACCGACUAAUGUUGAAAAAUUAGCGGAUGACUUGUGGCUGGGGGUGAAAGGCCAAUCAAACCGGGAGAUAGCUGGUUCUCCCCGAAAGCUAUUUAGGUAGCGCCUCGUGAAUUCAUCUCCGGGGGUAGAGCACUGUUUCGGCAAGGGGGUCAUCCCGACUUACCAACCCGAUGCAAACUGCGAAUACCGGAGAAUGUUAUCACGGGAGACACACGGCGGGUGCUAACGUCCGUCGUGAAGAGGGAAACAACCCAGACCGCCAGCUAAGGUCCCAAAGUCAUGGUUAAGUGGGAAACGAUGUGGGAAGGCCCAGACAGCCAGGAUGUUGGCUUAGAAGCAGCCAUCAUUUAAAGAAAGCGUAAUAGCUCACUGGUCGAGUCGGCCUGCGCGGAAGAUGUAACGGGGCUAAACCAUGCACCGAAGCUGCGGCAGCGACGCUUAUGCGUUGUUGGGUAGGGGAGCGUUCUGUAAGCCUGCGAAGGUGUGCUGUGAGGCAUGCUGGAGGUAUCAGAAGUGCGAAUGCUGACAUAAGUAACGAUAAAGCGGGUGAAAAGCCCGCUCGCCGGAAGACCAAGGGUUCCUGUCCAACGUUAAUCGGGGCAGGGUGAGUCGACCCCUAAGGCGAGGCCGAAAGGCGUAGUCGAUGGGAAACAGGUUAAUAUUCCUGUACUUGGUGUUACUGCGAAGGGGGGACGGAGAAGGCUAUGUUGGCCGGGCGACGGUUGUCCCGGUUUAAGCGUGUAGGCUGGUUUUCCAGGCAAAUCCGGAAAAUCAAGGCUGAGGCGUGAUGACGAGGCACUACGGUGCUGAAGCAACAAAUGCCCUGCUUCCAGGAAAAGCCUCUAAGCAUCAGGUAACAUCAAAUCGUACCCCAAACCGACACAGGUGGUCAGGUAGAGAAUACCAAGGCGCUUGAGAGAACUCGGGUGAAGGAACUAGGCAAAAUGGUGCCGUAACUUCGGGAGAAGGCACGCUGAUAUGUAGGUGAAGUCCCUCGCGGAUGGAGCUGAAAUCAGUCGAAGAUACCAGCUGGCUGCAACUGUUUAUUAAAAACACAGCACUGUGCAAACACGAAAGUGGACGUAUACGGUGUGACGCCUGCCCGGUGCCGGAAGGUUAAUUGAUGGGGUUAGCCGCAAGGCGAAGCUCUUGAUCGAAGCCCCGGUAAACGGCGGCCGUAACUAUAACGGUCCUAAGGUAGCGAAAUUCCUUGUCGGGUAAGUUCCGACCUGCACGAAUGGCGUAAUGAUGGCCAGGCUGUCUCCACCCGAGACUCAGUGAAAUUGAACUCGCUGUGAAGAUGCAGUGUACCCGCGGCAAGACGGAAAGACCCCGUGAACCUUUACUAUAGCUUGACACUGAACAUUGAGCCUUGAUGUGUAGGAUAGGUGGGAGGCUUAGAAGUGUGGACGCCAGUCUGCAUGGAGCCGACCUUGAAAUACCACCCUUUAAUGUUUGAUGUUCUAACGUGGACCCGUAAUCCGGGUUGCGGACAGUGUCUGGUGGGUAGUUUGACUGGGGCGGUCUCCUCCUAAAGAGUAACGGAGGAGCACGAAGGUUGGCUAAUCCUGGUCGGACAUCAGGAGGUUAGUGCAAUGGCAUAAGCCAGCUUGACUGCGAGCGUGACGGCGCGAGCAGGUGCGAAAGCAGGUCAUAGUGAUCCGGUGGUUCUGAAUGGAAGGGCCAUCGCUCAACGGAUAAAAGGUACUCCGGGGAUAACAGGCUGAUACCGCCCAAGAGUUCAUAUCGACGGCGGUGUUUGGCACCUCGAUGUCGGCUCAUCACAUCCUGGGGCUGAAGUAGGUCCCAAGGGUAUGGCUGUUCGCCAUUUAAAGUGGUACGCGAGCUGGGUUUAGAACGUCGUGAGACAGUUCGGUCCCUAUCUGCCGUGGGCGCUGGAGAACUGAGGGGGGCUGCUCCUAGUACGAGAGGACCGGAGUGGACGCAUCACUGGUGUUCGGGUUGUCAUGCCAAUGGCACUGCCCGGUAGCUAAAUGCGGAAGAGAUAAGUGCUGAAAGCAUCUAAGCACGAAACUUGCCCCGAGAUGAGUUCUCCCUGACCCUUUAAGGGUCCUGAAGGAACGUUGAAGACGACGACGUUGAUAGGCCGGGUGUGUAAGCGCAGCGAUGCGUUGAGCUAACCGGUACUAAUGAACCGUGAGGCUUAACCUU
RNAcentral lists this ribosomal RNA (2906 nucleotides) under Escherichia coli. RNAcentral describes it as "23S ribosomal RNA". It matches the Rfam family "Bacterial large subunit ribosomal RNA". The record is from RNAcentral. Lineage: Bacteria; Pseudomonadati; Pseudomonadota; Gammaproteobacteria; Enterobacterales; Enterobacteriaceae.